Long non-coding RNA from Physeter macrocephalus (sperm whale), 1389 nucleotides. RefSeq lists it as uncharacterized. The transcript has 3 exons. The record is from RefSeq and is a predicted model, not a curated record. Lineage: Eukaryota; Metazoa; Chordata; Mammalia; Artiodactyla; Physeteridae.
UUCCUACCUCUCUUUUCAUAUCCCAAUAUCUACAGUGUGCCUUCUGGAGCCCCAGUUUUGUACCAGAGAAAUUCUCCUGCAUCCUUAGCUGUUCCACAGAAUGUAUCCUUUACCUCUGGACCUUACCUGAACCCUGGCUCUCCUCUAGAGGCUUCUCUUCCUGAGGGUUGGCAGGCUUACUGAUGAGUAAGGAAGAACUGAAAGGAGAAGGAACUUUGCUUACUAUGUCAUCAUUUUCAGACUGUGCUGCGCUGCUUCAGUAUCUUAGUUCCCCGACCAGGGCUUGAACCCGGGCCCCGCAGUGGAAACAAAGAGUCCUAACCACUAGACUGCCAGGGAAUUCCCACCCCCAUGUUUCUGAUUCAGUAAGUCUGAGCAGGACCUGCGGUUCUGCAUUGCUAACAACCUCCCAGUAAUACAGAUGCUGCCAAUCCCAAAACCACACUGUAAGUAGCAAGUGUUUAGAACAGGAAGCUAGAGGUUACAGAGCACCAGGGUCCUAAAUCCCACUGUACUGUUACUACCUGACAUCAGCCUGUUGCCAACUCAGGUCAUCUUUCAUCUCUCUCCCUCCAGAAUUUGUUCACUCUGACCCGACUUAGAUUUCUGCUUGAAUUUUCCCUGAUAUGGCCUGGAUGGACCAGGAGGGCAUCGAGUAGUAAUGAUCAAGUCCUGCUUUUGUUCUAGCUGAGCUGGGCCCCAGACGUUCUGAGCACUGGAUCUCUGUCACCAGCCUCUUCUACACCCUCAGCUACACUCCUAAGUCAUCCCUUUCUCCCUUCCUUCUUUUCUUCCCUCCCCUACCCACUGCUUUUUAGUCACUGGAGUCCUGCAUUCACCAUUUACAUGGAUUUGCCCAUCAGGCUCUCUCUCUGAGUCCAUGGCUAGUUCAAGUCCAACAAACAAGUAAAGUUCACUGGUUUCAAACAGCAGCUGUGGGCUCCACCACAGCCCCACUAAAGAACCAGGAGGCUGGAGAAAGGCUGAUGGGACAGUGCCUUCCCAGGGCCCAAUAUAAACAGAGUCUUGAAGGUUCUGGGGUAGAAGAAGCAAGGAGUAGGUGGAAGCACGCCCAAGGAGAGAACUGAAUAAAGAGUUUGUGAUGGGGACCAGUGAUAUAAGAAGGUUAUAGGAGAAAUGAAGGGAUCGUAUACAGCAGAGGAUUUGAAAACAGAACACUACCUAGCACCAUACACAAAAAUAAACUCCAAAUGGAUUAAAGACUUAAAUAUAAGACCAGACACUAUAAAACUCUUAGAGGAAAACAUAGGAAAAACACUCUUUGACAUAAACCACACUAAGAUCUUUUUUGAUACACCUCCUAGAGUAACAGAAAUAAAAACAAAAAUAAACAAACGGGACUUAAUUAAACUUAAAAGCUUUUGCACA